RNAcentral lists this ribosomal RNA (245 nucleotides) under uncultured Syntrophus sp. RNAcentral describes it as "partial 16S ribosomal RNA". It matches the Rfam family "Bacterial small subunit ribosomal RNA", at positions 524 to 768 of the family's 1533-position model. The record is from RNAcentral. Lineage: Bacteria; Pseudomonadati; Thermodesulfobacteriota; Syntrophia; Syntrophales; Syntrophaceae.
UACGGGGGGUGCAAGCGUUGUUCGGAAUCAUUGGGCGUAAAGAGCGUGUAGGCGGCGUGAUAAGUCAGAUGUGAAAGCCCUGGGCUUAACCCAGGAAGUGCAUUUGAAACUGUCUUGCUUGAGUACGGGAGAGGGAAGAGGAAUUCCUGGUGUAGAGGUGAAAUUCGUAGAUAUCAGGAGGAACACCGGUGGCGAAGGCGACUUCCUGGCCCGAUACUGACGCUGAGACGCGAGAGCGUGGGGAG